UCGGCGACCGGCGCACGGGUGCGUAACGCGUAUGCAACCUACCCAUUACAGGGGGAUAACACUGAGAAAUCGGUACUAAUACCCCAUAACAUCCAGGGAGGCAUCUUCUUGGGUUGAAAACUCCGGUGGUAAUGGAUGGGCAUGCGUUGUAUUAGUUAGUUGGUGGGGUAACGGCUCACCAAGACGACGAUACAUAGGGGGACUGAGAGGUUAACCCCCCACAUUGGUACUGAGACACGGACCAAACUCCUACGGAAGGCAGCAG
This 265-nucleotide ribosomal RNA is filed under the name uncultured bacterium. RNAcentral's name for it is "partial 16S ribosomal RNA". It matches the Rfam family "Bacterial small subunit ribosomal RNA", at positions 88 to 354 of the family's 1533-position model. The record is from RNAcentral.